Molecule: ribosomal RNA, 497 nt
Filed under: uncultured bacterium
Lineage: Bacteria
Description: partial 16S ribosomal RNA
Rfam family: Bacterial small subunit ribosomal RNA
Source: RNAcentral
GAUGAACGCUGGCGGCGUGCCUAAUACAUGCAAGUCGAGCGAACAGACGAGGAGCUUGCUCCUCUGACGUUAGCGGCGGACGGGUGAGUAACACGUGGAUAACCUACCUAUAAGACUGGGAUAACUUCGGGAAACCGGAGCUAAUACCGGAUAAUAUAUUGAACCGCAUGGUUCAAUAGUGAAAGACGGUUUUGCUGUCACUUAUAGAUGGAUCCGCGCCGCAUUAGCUAGUUGGUAAGGUAACGGCUUACCAAGGCAACGAUGCGUAGCCGACCUGAGAGGGUGAUCGGCCACACUGGAACUGAGACACGGUCCAGACUCCUACGGGAGGCAGCAGUAGGGAAUCUUCCGCAAAGGGCGAAAGCUUGACGGAGCAACGCCGCGUGAGUGAUGAAGGUCUUCGGAUCGUAAAACUCUGUUAUUAGGGAAGAACAAAUGUGUGAGUAACUAUGCACGUCUUGACGGUACCUAAUCAGAAAGCCACGGCUAACUACGUG